AAUAUUGUACAAUGGGGGCAACCCUGAUCCAGCCAUCCCGCGUGUGCGAUGACGGCCNNNGGGUUNUAAAGCACUUUCGGCAGNGAANAAGAGGCUUUGGUUAAUACCUGGAUCUGCUGACGUUACCUGCAGCAUAAGCACCGGCUAACUACGUGCCAGCAGCCACGGUAAUACGUAGGGUGCAAGCGUUAAUCGGAAUUACUGGGCGUAAAGCGUGGGUAGGCGGUUCGGAAAGUAAGAGUGGAAAUCCAAGGGCUCAACCUUGGAACUGCAUUUUUAACUGCCGGGCUAGAUUAUGUCAGAGGGAGGUAGAAUUCCACGUGUAGCAGUGAAAUGCGUAGAUAUGUGGAGGAAUACCGAUGGCGAAGGCAGCCCCCUGGGAUAAUACUGACGCUCAGACACGAAAGCGUGGGGAGCAAAC
Molecule: ribosomal RNA, 421 nt
Filed under: uncultured bacterium
Lineage: Bacteria
Description: partial 16S ribosomal RNA
Rfam family: Bacterial small subunit ribosomal RNA
Source: RNAcentral